Molecule: transfer RNA, 74 nt
Filed under: Camelus bactrianus (Bactrian camel)
Lineage: Eukaryota; Metazoa; Chordata; Mammalia; Artiodactyla; Camelidae
Also listed under: 2 other names
Rfam family: tRNA
About the family: Transfer RNA (tRNA) molecules are approximately 80 nucleotides in length. Their secondary structure includes four short double-helical elements and three loops (D, anti-codon, and T loops).
Source: Rfam by way of RNAcentral
GGAGGUAUACAGCUCAGUGGUACAGCACGUGCUUAGCACGCACAAUGUUUGGGGUUCAACCCCCAGUACCUCCA